Sycon ciliatum is the source of this 890-nucleotide long non-coding RNA. RefSeq lists it as uncharacterized. The transcript is spliced from 3 exons. The record is from RefSeq and is a predicted model, not a curated record. NCBI's taxonomy places the organism in Eukaryota, Metazoa, Porifera, Calcarea, Leucosolenida, Sycettidae.
UUACGUUUGGUGUUGAUUCACUACUAGCUGUUUACAGUUCUGACCUGUAGUUUCAUGAGACUAGUUUUGUUGUAGAUCUACAGCGUGUACAGAGCUGAUCUAAGUGCACGUUGCUAUUUGAAAAAGUGGUUUAGCAGACCCUCUGUCAGCACCAGAUAUUUCGAAAUGGACGUAUCGGAGAGAACACCGCGCAAAAGUGAGAGUGACCGUCCCCGCCUUCAGGAGCGCGGCGUUGCAGGGCUGAGAAAUUUAUUGUCGAAGAACGCUAAUCGCCCCAAGAAACAAGCGUCAGAUGAUAAUGAAACAGAAGAUAUCCUCCAGAAAAUGGCAAAGAAGAACGCAGAGAUUCAACGGAAAUUCGAUAUCGCUCAACGAGAUCGUGAAGAAGCUGCUGCGGUGGGUGCCUCAUUCCGUUCUUCCCAAUGUAGAACGCAGGCCUCCAGACUCAACGGUUCUUACGGCGCUAUGUGUGCGCAAAGUCAGAACAAGCCCGAAACACAUUCAUCUGAGCAAAAUUCUGCCAGUGUGAAGCACGCCAGAAUAAUGUCCCCGCCAUCCAGUCAAAUAUCUGGUAUGUCCUGUAGACGAAUCCAGUCUGCCGGGAGCGCUUGUGGUCCUCUUCCGCCAAAAGGACGAGCCAGGAUCCGACCACAGUCUUCCCACAUGGCUGUCGUUGGUAAUGUCGGAGCAUCAACUGGGUCACAGGCAUCAAGUCAAACUUCUACCAUAUCCUCGAUACAACUCCAGUCUGCGGGGAAUGCUCCUUGUCGUCUCCCGUCAAAAGGACGCGGAAGAGUCCGAGCACAGCCUCCAAGCAUGGCUGGUGCUGGAAAUGUUAGAGCAUCAACAGGGCCGCCUACUACCGCACAUGGACGGAUGACGUUGACUCC